CUACGGGGGGCAGCAGUGAGGAAUACUGCACAAUGGGGGGAACCCUGAUGCAGCAACGCCGCGUGGAGGAUGACGCAUUUCGGUGUGUAAACUCCUUUUAUAUGUCAAGAAAAUGACGGUAGCAUAUGAAUAAGCACCGGCUAACUCCGUGCCAGCAGCCGCGGUAAUACGGAGGGUGCAAGCGUUACUCGGAAUCACUGGGCGUAAAGGACGCGUAGGCGGGUUGGAAAGUCAGGUGUGAAAUCCUACAGCUUAACUGUAGAACUGCACUUGAAACUUCUAAUCUAGAGUAUGGGAGGGGGAGAUGGAAUUAGUGGUGUAGGGGUAAAAUCCGUAGAUAUCACUAGGAAUACCUAAAGCGAAGGCGAUCUCCUGGAACAUUGCUGACGCUAAGGCGUGAAAGCGUGGGGAGCGAACAGGAUUAGAUACCCGUGUAGUC
This 439-nucleotide ribosomal RNA is filed under the name uncultured bacterium. Its description in RNAcentral is "partial 16S ribosomal RNA". It matches the Rfam family "Bacterial small subunit ribosomal RNA", at positions 339 to 795 of the family's 1533-position model. The record is from RNAcentral.